Molecule: ribosomal RNA, 543 nt
Filed under: uncultured archaeon
Lineage: Archaea
Description: bacterial SSU rRNA
Rfam family: Archaeal small subunit ribosomal RNA
Source: RNAcentral
CUGGAAUGGGUAAUGACCCAAACCUAUAUGGCCCCUGGAUUUGGACUGCGGCCGAUCAGGCUGUUGGUGAGGUAAUGGCCCACCAAAUCUGUAACCGGUACGGGCUCUGAGAGGAGGAGCCCGGAGAUGGGCACUGAGACAAGGGCCCAGGCCCUAUGGGGUGCGGCAGGCGCGAAACCUCUGCAAUAGGCGAAAGCUUGACAGGGUUACUCUGAGUGAUUUCCGUUAAGGAGAUCUUUUGGCACCUCUAAAAAUGGUGCAGAAUAAGGGGUGGGCAAGUCUGGUGUCAGCCGCCGCGGUAAUACCAGCACCCCGAGUGGUCGGGACGUUUAUUGGGCCUAAAGCAUCCGUAGCCGGUUCUACAAGUCUUCCGUUAAAUCCACCUGCUCAACAGAUGGGCUGCGGAAGAUACUAUGGAGCUGGGAGGCGGGAGAGGCAAGCGGUACUCGAUGGGUAGGGGUAAAAUCCGUUGAUCCAUUGAAGACCACCAGUGGCGAAGGCGGCUUGCCAGAACGCGCUCAACGGUGAGGGGAUGAAAGCUGG